This 687-nucleotide ribosomal RNA is filed under the name Salmonella enterica subsp. enterica serovar Newport. RNAcentral's name for it is "partial 23S ribosomal RNA". It matches the Rfam family "Bacterial large subunit ribosomal RNA", at positions 161 to 889 of the family's 2925-position model. Lineage: Bacteria; Pseudomonadati; Pseudomonadota; Gammaproteobacteria; Enterobacterales; Enterobacteriaceae. The record is from RNAcentral.
AAUCCAUAGGUUAAUGAGGCGAACCGGGGGAACUGAAACAUCUAAGUACCCCGAGGAAAAGAAAUCAACCGAGAUUCCCCCAGUAGCGGCGAGCGAACGGGGAGGAGCCCAGAGCCUGAAUCAGCAUGUGUGUUAGUGGAAGCGUCUGGAAAGGCGCGCGAUACAGGGUGACAGCCCCGUACACAAAAGCGCAUGUGCUGUGAGCUCGAUGAGUAGGGCGGGACACGUGGUAUCCUGUCUGAAUAUGGGGGGACCAUCCUCCAAGGCUAAAUACUCCUGACUGACCGAUAGUGAACCAGUACCGUGAGGGAAAGGCGAAAAGAACCCCGGCGAGGGGAGUGAAAAAGAACCUGAAACCGUGUACGUACAAGCAGUGGGAGCACCCUUUGGGGUGUGACUGCGUACCUUUUGUAUAAUGGGUCAGCGACUUAUAUUCUGUAGCAAGGUUAACCGUAUAGGGGAGCCGUAGGGAAACCGAGUCUUAACCGGGCGUUAAGUUGCAGGGUAUAGACCCGAAACCCGGUGAUCUAGCCAUGGGCAGGUUGAAGGUUGGGUAACACUAACUGGAGGACCGAACCGACUAAUGUUGAAAAAUUAGCGGAUGACCUGUGGCUGGGGGUGAAAGGCCAAUCAAACCGGGAGAUAGCUGGUUCUCCCCGAAAGCUAUUUAGGUAGCGCCUCGUGAAU